Molecule: ribosomal RNA, 253 nt
Filed under: uncultured bacterium
Lineage: Bacteria
Description: partial 16S ribosomal RNA
Rfam family: Bacterial small subunit ribosomal RNA
Source: RNAcentral
UACAGAGGUCCCAAGCGUUGUUCGGAUUCACUGGGCGUAAAGGGUGCGUAGGCGGUCGGGUAAGUCUGAUGUGAAAUCUCAGAGCUCAACUCUGAAACUGCAUUCGAUACUGCCGUGCUUGAGGACUGGAGAGGAGACUGGAAUUUACGGUGUAGCGGUGAAAUGCGUAGAUAUCGUAAGGAAGACCAGUGGCGAAGGCGGGUCUCUGGACAGUUCCUGACGCUGAGGCACGAAGGCCAGGGGAGCAAACGGG